AUUGAACGCUGGCGGCAGGCCUAACACAUGCAAGUCGAGCGGUAGAGAGAAGCUUGCUUCUCUUGAGAGCGGCGGACGGGUGAGUAAUGCCUAGGAAUCUGCCUGGUAGUGGGGGAUAACGUUCGGAAACGGACGCUAAUACCGCAUACGUCCUACGGGAGAAAGCAGGGGACCUUCGGGCCUUGCGCUAUCAGAUGAGCCUAGGUUGGAUUAGCUAGUUGGUGAGGUAAUGGCUCACCAAGGCGACGAUCCGUAACUGGUCUGAGAGGAUGAUCAGUCACACUGGAACUGAGACACGGUCCAGACUCCUACGGGAGGCAGCAGUGGGGAAUAUUGGACAAUGGGCGAAAGCCUGAUCCAGCCAUGCCGCGUGUGUGAAGAAGGUCUUCGGAUUGUAAAGCACUUUAAGUUGGGAGGAAGGGUUGUAGAUUAAUACUCUGCAAUUUUGACGUUACCGACAGAAUAAGCACCGGCUAACUCUGUGCCAGCAGCCGCGGUAAUACAGAGGGUGCAAGCGUUAAUCGGAAUUACUGGGCGUAAAGCGCGCGUAGGUGGUUUGUUAAGUUGGAUGUGAAAUCCCCGGGCUCAACCUGGGAACUGCAUUCAAAACUGACUGACUAGAGUAUGGUAGAGGGUGGUGGAAUUUCCUGUGUAGCGGUGAAAUGCGUAGAUAUAGGAAGGAACACCAGUGGCGAAGGCGACCACCUGGACUAAUACUGACACUGAGGUGCGAAAGCGUGGGGAGCAAACAGG
RNAcentral lists this ribosomal RNA (753 nucleotides) under uncultured Pseudomonas sp. Its description in RNAcentral is "bacterial SSU rRNA". It matches the Rfam family "Bacterial small subunit ribosomal RNA", at positions 28 to 776 of the family's 1533-position model. The record is from RNAcentral. Lineage: Bacteria; Pseudomonadati; Pseudomonadota; Gammaproteobacteria; Pseudomonadales; Pseudomonadaceae.